CAGUCGACGCUUCUUUUUCCACCGGAGCUUGCUCCACCGGAAAAAGAGGAGUGGCGAACGGGUGAGUAACACGUGGGUAACCUGCCCAUCAGAAGGGGAUAACACUUGGAAACAGGUGCUAAUACCGUAUAGCAAUCAAAACCGCAUGGUUUUGAUUUGAAAGGCGCUUUCGGGUGUCGCUGAUGGAUGGACCCGCGGUGCAUUAGCUAGUUGGUGAGGUAACGGCUCACCAAGGCCACGAUGCAUAGCCGACCUGAGAGGGUGAUCGGCCACAUUGGGACUGAGACACGGCCCAAACUCCUACGGGAGGCAGCAGUAGGGAAUCUUCGGCAAUGGACGAAAGUCUGACCGAGCAACGCCGCGUGAGUGAAGAAGGUUUUCGGAUCGUAAAACUCUGUUGUUAGAGAAGAACAAGGAUGAGAGUAACUGUUCAUCCCUUGACGGUAUCUAACCAGAAAGCCACGGCUAACUACGUGCCAGCAGCCGCGGUAAUACGUAGGUGGCAAGCGUUGUCCGGAUUUAUUGGGCGUAAAGCGAGCGCAGGCGGUUUCUUAAGUCUGAUGUGAAAGCCCCCGGCUCAACCGGGGAGGGUCAUUGGAAACUGGGAGACUUGAGUGCAGAAGAGGAGAGUGGAAUUCCAUGUGUAGCGGUGAAA
This 655-nucleotide ribosomal RNA is filed under the name uncultured bacterium. RNAcentral describes it as "bacterial SSU rRNA". It matches the Rfam family "Bacterial small subunit ribosomal RNA", at positions 59 to 686 of the family's 1533-position model. The record is from RNAcentral.